Molecule: ribosomal RNA, 1368 nt
Filed under: Triticum aestivum (bread wheat)
Lineage: Eukaryota; Viridiplantae; Streptophyta; Magnoliopsida; Poales; Poaceae
Description: partial small subunit ribosomal RNA
Source: RNAcentral
AUGGAGCGUGUGCUCGCGGUGCUCUUCCUCCUGGCGGCGCACGCCGCCUCCGCGGCCGCCGGUGUGACGAGCCCGUACCGGCGGAGCCUGCAGAUGCUCCCCGACAUGCCGCUCGACGCCGACGUGUUCCGGCCGCCGCCUGGCGACAAUGCGCCGGAGCAGGUCCACAUCACCCAGGGCGAUCUGACCGGCCGCGCCAUGACGAUAUCCUGGGUUACCCCGGAGCACCCGGGCAGUAACGUCGUCCGCUACGGCCUCGCCGCCGACAACCUCAACCUCACGGCCGAGGGCACCGUCCAGCGCUACACCUGGGGCGGCACCUACCAGUCCCCCUACAUCCACCACGCCACGCUCACCGGCCUCGACCACGCCACCGUCUACCACUACGCCGUCGGCUUCGGCUACACCGUGAGGUCCUUCUCCUUCAAAACCCCGCCCAAGCCCGGCCCCGACGCGCCCAUCAAGUUCGGUCUCAUCGGUGAUCUCGGCCAGACGUUCCACUCCAACGACACGGUGGCCCACUACGAGGCCAACGGCGGCGACGCCGUGCUCUUCAUCGGCGACCUGUCCUACGCCGACAACCACCCGGGCCACGACAACCGCCGCUGGGACACGUGGGCGCGCUUCGUGGAGCGCAGCGUCGCGUACCAGCCCUGGAUCUGGACCGCCGGCAACCACGAGAUCGACUACGCGCCGGAGAUCGGCGAGACGGCGCCGUUCAAGCCGUUCACGCACCGGUACCCCACCCCUUUCCGCGCAUCCAACAGCACCGAGCACCUCUGGUACUCGGUGAAGAUGGCGUCCGCCCACGUCAUCAUGCUCUCCUCCUACUCCGCCUACGGCAAGUACACGCCGCAGUGGACGUGGCUGCAGGACGAGCUCCGGCGCGUGGACCGGAGGACGACCCCCUGGCUCAUCGUCUGCGUGCACUCGCCCUGGUACAACACCAACGACUACCACUACAUGGAGGGCGAGACGAUGCGCGUCCAGUUCGAGCGCUGGCUCGUCGACGCCAAGGUCGACCUCGUCCUCGCCGGCCACGUCCACUCGUACGAGCGCACCCACCGCGUCUCCAACGUCGCCUACGACAUCGCCAACGGCAAGGCCACGCCGCAGUUCAACGCCUCCGCUCCCGUCUACAUCAACAUCGGCGACGGCGGGAACACCGAGGGGCUCGCCAACAGCUUCCGGUCGCCGCAGCCGGACUACUCCGCAUUCAGGGAGGCCAGCUACGGGCACGCCACGCUGGACAUCAAGAACAGGACCCACGCCUACUACGAGUGGCACCGCAACCAGGACGGCGUCAAGGUCGUCGCCGACAAGGCCUGGUUCACAAACAGAUACUACAUGCCAACCCACACCAACUAG